UACGUAGGCAGCGAGCGUUGUUCGGAAUUACUGGGCGUAAAGCGUGCUCAGGCGGUUUUGUAAGUCUGUCGUGAAAUCCCCGGGCUUAACCUGGGAAUGGCGAUGGAGACUGCAAGGCUAGAAUCUGGCAGAGGGGGGUAGAAUUCCACGUGUAGCAGUGAAAUGCGUAGAGAUGUGGAGGAACACCGAUGGCGAAGGCAGCCCCCUGGGUCAAGAUUGACGCUCAUGCACGAAAGCGUGGGGAGCAAACAGG
RNAcentral lists this ribosomal RNA (253 nucleotides) under uncultured bacterium. RNAcentral's name for it is "partial 16S ribosomal RNA". It matches the Rfam family "Bacterial small subunit ribosomal RNA", at positions 524 to 776 of the family's 1533-position model. The record is from RNAcentral.